CCUACGGGAGGCAGCAGUGAGGAAUAUUGGUCAAUGGACGAAAGUCUGAACCAGCCAUGCCGCGUGCAGGAUGACGGCUCUAUGAGUUGUAAACUUCUUUUGUCAGGGACGAAGCAAGUGACGGUACCUGACGAAUAAGCCACGGCUAACUACGUGCCAGCAGCCGCGGUAAUACGUAGGUGGCAAGCGUUAUCCGGAUUUACUGGGUGUAAAGGGCGUGUAGGCGGGACUACAAGUCAGAUGUGAAAACCACGGGCUCAACCUGUGGCCUGCAUUUGAAACUGUAGUUCUUGAGUACUGGAGAGGCAGACGGAAUUCCUAGUGUAGCGGUGAAAUGCGUAGAUAUUAGGAGGAACACCAGUGGCGAAGGCGGUCUGCUGGACAGCAACUGACGCUGAGGCGCGAAAGCGUGGGGAGCAAACAGGAUUAGAUACCCUGGUAGUC
This 444-nucleotide ribosomal RNA is filed under the name uncultured bacterium. RNAcentral's name for it is "partial 16S ribosomal RNA". It matches the Rfam family "Bacterial small subunit ribosomal RNA", at positions 338 to 795 of the family's 1533-position model. The record is from RNAcentral.